This is a long non-coding RNA of Perca fluviatilis (European perch), 202 nucleotides long. RefSeq lists it as uncharacterized. Lineage: Eukaryota; Metazoa; Chordata; Actinopteri; Perciformes; Percidae. The transcript has 3 exons. The record is from RefSeq and is a predicted model, not a curated record.
GUACAGCCAGGUCUGCGGGCCGUGACAGGUCAACUAGUCGUUCACCCAGGUCUGCAGGCCGUGACAGGACAACUAGUCGUACAGCCAGGUCUGCGGGCCGUGACAGGUCAACUAGUCGUGAGUAUAGCCUUUCAUUGCUGAAUAUUGCAGGCAGGUCACUAGGACUAAUGAUAAUGAAUGACUGAUGUUUCUGCUCUGCAUU